GGCGCUAUGGUGUAGUGGCAGCACUUGGGAUUUUGAUCCACUCCUAGUGAGCUUAUCUUCCCACAACGCAGGUUCGAACCCUGCUAGUGCCU
Molecule: transfer RNA, 92 nt
Filed under: Armillaria gallica
Lineage: Eukaryota; Fungi; Basidiomycota; Agaricomycetes; Agaricales; Physalacriaceae
Rfam family: tRNA
About the family: Transfer RNA (tRNA) molecules are approximately 80 nucleotides in length. Their secondary structure includes four short double-helical elements and three loops (D, anti-codon, and T loops).
Source: Rfam by way of RNAcentral